This 97-nucleotide ribosomal RNA is filed under the name Salmonella enterica subsp. enterica serovar Infantis. RNAcentral describes it as "partial 23S ribosomal RNA". It matches the Rfam family "Bacterial large subunit ribosomal RNA", at positions 1 to 88 of the family's 2925-position model. Lineage: Bacteria; Pseudomonadati; Pseudomonadota; Gammaproteobacteria; Enterobacterales; Enterobacteriaceae. RNAcentral also lists the same sequence under 3 other names. The record is from RNAcentral.
GGGUUGUGAGGUUAAGCGACUAAGCGUACACGGUGGAUGCCCUGGCAGUCAGAGGCGAUGAAGGGCGUGCUAAUCUGCGAUAAGCGCCGGUAAGGUG